UCGUUGUCAACACCGCACAAGAGCUCAAGGUCAACAGAUGCUGCAAAGAGUGAAUGAUCAGUGAUCAAUAUAGCUCUCUCUUUCAUAACAGAAUUUUAAUAGUUUGAUUUUCUUAUGCUUCAUCCAAGUUUUUCUUCAUGUUUGAAGCUUGAUUUGCUGAUGUAAUGAUUCAUUUGUCCGGCUGAGAUUUUGCUGAGUGCAA
Molecule: long non-coding RNA, 202 nt
Filed under: Physcomitrium patens
Lineage: Eukaryota; Viridiplantae; Streptophyta; Bryopsida; Funariales; Funariaceae
Description: long non-coding RNA (PPAT_LNC004708)
Source: RNAcentral